AUGGCGAAAAGAAAAGAACUGCGAAUGAGUCUCUCUGAAGUCUUGCUCUCUCUCGCUUUGUCACAGCCGGAAUAAUUCAGAAGAAACAAGCGUUUCAUUAAGAAGCAUCUUCCAUCUCUGUGCUUCCUCUGAUUUAAUUUUUCUCACUUCGGUGAAGCUCACCGAUGCUUCCAGAUGUAGGGAGAGUUUUUCUAACUAGCACUUAUUGGUGAUGCAUUCACUGAUGGAGAGAAAUCAGAUUUUUCAGUCAUCGGUCAGAACAGAACAAGCUGAACUUGGAUUCGUCAAGGUUACUUGAAACGGGUUUAAAAACAUUUUAUCAUAUUUCCAGGUUUUUAGUAUAUCGGAGAUCCUAAACUGCCUUUUAAAGUUUUAAAAAAAUCUAAGAAUUGCAAGUUGAGGAUGAAAUAAUUUCCUUUGUCUAUCUGUGUAGAACAAAAAAUGUUUUUUAUAUUUUCCUUUUUCAAGAAACAUACAUACUUUUAAUGUACCCAAGUUUGUCUACCACAACUUAGACCAGCUGUAAAGUUGUUUAUGCCUGAUUCUGACUGUGGUUUUAAGGAAUACGUAACAGAAAUAUCAAUAUUGCACUGAAGAAAUCUUGAAACUUAAAACAUGAACCGUUUUUUCAAGAGCUCUAUCCUCUUUUCUGUCCUCUUUCGUUGCACUGAAAAAUAUCGGAUUCAUUCUCAUUAGCGUCCAGAAGGUGGUGCUGUGCUCCGGAAAGCAUUACUACGCCCUGCUGAAGCAGAGAGAGACGUCAGCAGCCGGCCAGAACACGGCGCUGAUCCGUGUGGAGGAGCUGUGUCCGUUUCCUGUCGAGCCUCUGCAGCAGGAGCUCAGAAAGUAUCCAAACGCUAAAGAGUUUAUUUGGAGUCAGGAGGAACCUCAAAACAUGGGCCCCUGGUCUUUCGUGGCGCCUCGGUUCGAGAAGCAGCUGGCCUGCAAGCUCCGGUUGGUGAGUCGCCCCGCUCUUCCCGCCCCCGCCGUCGGCAUCGGGACCCUUCAUCACCAGCAGCAGGAGGCCAUCCUCACAGCCACGUUUUCAUUAAGCGAAGCUCGAAACCAAACGAAGCAGAACCCGGGCAGCAGUUCUACACUACAGGCUCAGCGGUGAUAAUGCAAUCAACGAAUGUCUUUAAGAGAAUAAUGUUUAAAAUUUGAGUCAUUGUAGUUUAGAGUGUUAAUUUUAAUGUUUUGAAAGCAUUGUCUUAAAUCUUCUCACAUUUUACGCCAGUUUUUUUUGUGUGUGUGUGUUUGAAGUUAGAUUUGUCUGAAUAAAGGCCUUAGAGAUCAUGUUUACAUGAUGAUUGUAGUCCACCUCACUCUUCUGCUUUUUUUUAUGAUUGCAGGGAUGCAUUUACAUAAAUAAAACCUCUACAGGUUCCCUUCUUCAGGAAUCCAAACCCCUCUGGUCAUGUCACUCACAAACGCCUGCAGGAGGCGUCCAUGUUUGUGCUGCUGAAUGCAGAAAGCAUCAGUUUAAGUUGUUAGACGUACAGCAUUAAUCUUGAAGUGUGGCGUGGUGCAAAACGAACGGAGCUCAGAAAGAGAUGAAGCGUUUUCUGAUUAAAUAAUGAAAACUGUUGCAGUUGUAAUUCUGUACGUAGAAGAUGUUCCUUGUUUACACGAAGGCUGUAACUGAAAAAAUACUGACAUCAUGAAAUGUAAAUACAGCAAAACUUUUUAAAUAAAUCUAUUUUCAUGUUU
Molecule: long non-coding RNA, 1710 nt
Organism: Poecilia latipinna (sailfin molly)
Lineage: Eukaryota; Metazoa; Chordata; Actinopteri; Cyprinodontiformes; Poeciliidae
Exons: 3
Source: RefSeq, a predicted model, not a curated record